CGUGAAGUUGACCGCCUGGGGAGUACGGUCGCAAGAUUAAAACUCAAAGGAAUUGACGGGGACCCGCACAAGCGGUGGAUGAUGUGGAUUAAUUCGAUGCAACGCGAAAAACCUUACCUACCCUUGACAUGUCUGGAAUUCCGAAGAGAUUUGGAAGUGCUCGCAAGAGAACCGGAACACAGGUGCUGCAUGGCUGUCGUCAGCUCGUGUCGUGAGAUGUUGGGUUAAGUCCCGCAACGAGCGCAACCCUUGUCAUUAGUUGCUACGAAAGGGCACUCUAAUGAGACUGCCGGUGACAAACCGGAGGAAGGUGGGGAUGACGUCAAGUCCUCAUGGCCCUUAUGGGUAGGGCUUCACACGUCAUACAAUGGUCGGGACAGAGGGUCGCCAACCCGCGAGGGGGAGCCAAUCCCAGAAACCCGAUCGUAGUCCGGAUCGCAGUCUGCAACUCGACUGCGUGAAGUCGGAAUCGCUAGUAAUCGCGGAUCAGCAUGUCGCGGUGAAUACGUUCCCGGGUCUUGUACACACCGCCCGUCACACCAUGGGAGUGGGUUUUACCAGAAGUAGUUAG
RNAcentral lists this ribosomal RNA (571 nucleotides) under Achromobacter deleyi. Its description in RNAcentral is "bacterial SSU rRNA". It matches the Rfam family "Bacterial small subunit ribosomal RNA", at positions 858 to 1433 of the family's 1533-position model. Lineage: Bacteria; Pseudomonadati; Pseudomonadota; Betaproteobacteria; Burkholderiales; Alcaligenaceae. The record is from RNAcentral.